RNAcentral lists this ribosomal RNA (380 nucleotides) under uncultured bacterium. RNAcentral's name for it is "partial 16S ribosomal RNA". It matches the Rfam family "Bacterial small subunit ribosomal RNA", at positions 338 to 734 of the family's 1533-position model. The record is from RNAcentral.
CCUACGGGAGGCAGCAGUGGGGGAUAUUGCACAAUGGGGGGAACCCUGAUGCAGCGACGCCGCGUGGGUGAAGACGUGCUUCUGCAUGUAAAGCCCUAUCCGCAGGGAAGAAGCAUGACGGUACCUGACGAAGAAGCCCCGGCUAACUACGUGCCAGCAGCCGCGGUAAUACGUAGGGGGCGAGCGUUAUCCGGAUUCACUGGGUGUAAAGGGAGCGUAGACGGCCAUGCAAGCUAGGGGUGAAAACCCGCGGCCCAACCCCGUGACUGCCCUCGGAACUGUGCGGCUAGAGUGCGGGAGGGGCAGGCGGAAUUCCUGGUGUAGCGGUGAAAUGCGUAGAUAGCAGGAGGAACACCGGCGGCGAAGGCGGCCUGCUGGAC